Molecule: long non-coding RNA, 460 nt
Filed under: Bos taurus (domestic cattle)
Lineage: Eukaryota; Metazoa; Chordata; Mammalia; Artiodactyla; Bovidae
Description: long non-coding RNA NONBTAT000333
Source: RNAcentral
CAAUUCAAGGAUAUGUGGAUCUCAAAAAUAAUAAACCAGUGUGUAAGGAAUGUAAAUCUUAACUUAGAGCUAUGACUCUGCCAGCAAUGUAGAAAGUGGCAGUUAGUACUCUCAAGCGAACCCUAACUUCUCCAACAUCUCUAUUCCAGAGCAGGGUAUCAGCUACAUGUUUGCAUACAUAAAUAAACAUUGUAUUGUUUUCCCCAGAAUUGUGAGUGCAUGAGAAAGGAAUUCAAGUCUACCAGAAAGCUUAUUUGCCACUUCAUAAAUGAUAGUGUCUCCUGAUUGUGCUAGUCCUGUCAAGGUUUCAGAGGUCUUAGUGGCCCAGUAGUUAUCAGGGACUGUAUUUACUCUCCUUCAACAAGCUAGCAGAGGAGGGUGGAACUGGGGCUCAAAGUGUUCUAAGCACAGGAGCAUGUCAGUAUCUAUAUGAUGGGAGGCACAAUUAAGACAGCUGAUG